This 265-nucleotide long non-coding RNA is filed under the name Salvia miltiorrhiza (redroot sage). Its description in RNAcentral is "long non-coding RNA (SMIL_LNC000995)". The record is from RNAcentral. Lineage: Eukaryota; Viridiplantae; Streptophyta; Magnoliopsida; Lamiales; Lamiaceae.
GGGUUUUCUGGUCGUCGUUCCGCGAUGGUGUUUAGCCGCGAAGGUCUACGACUUAGUCUUCCUCGUGCGAGGUAGAUCAGGCUACACAACGGUGUUUUCUCGAUCCUUUUUCGUCGUAAGGAUAUUGAGAAACGAAGGCCGUAAGUUGGCCGGUGGCUAAGUCGGGAAUUCGACGUUGGCCGCCGAAGGAUAUUGCGGCCUUUGGUCAGGAAAAUAUAGAGAAGGCUUCGGCCUUUCGAUUGUUGGGUUUGGUAGCCUGAAGAUG